RNAcentral lists this ribosomal RNA (352 nucleotides) under Pseudotetraedriella kamillae. RNAcentral describes it as "SSU rRNA". It matches the Rfam family "Eukaryotic small subunit ribosomal RNA", at positions 1470 to 1828 of the family's 1831-position model. Lineage: Eukaryota; Eustigmatophyceae; Eustigmatales; Loboceae. The record is from RNAcentral.
CCCUUAGAUGUCCUGGGCCGCACGCGCGCUACACUGAUGCGUUCAACGAGUUUAUAACCUUGUCCGGAAGGACCGGGUAAUCUUGAAAUGCGCAUCGUGAUAGGGAUAGAUUAUUGCAACUAUUAAUCUUGAACGAGGAAUUCCUAGUAAACGCGAGUCAUCAGCUCGCAUUGAUUACGUCCCUGCCCUUUGUACACACCGCCCGUCGCACCUACCGAUUGAAUGAUUCGGUGAAGCUUUCGGACCGUACCACUAGCUUCGGCUUGUGGCGUGGGAAGUUAUCUAAACCUCAUCAUUUAGAGGAAGGUGAAGUCGUAACAAGGUUUCCGUAGGUGAACCUGCGGAAGGAUCA